Setaria italica (foxtail millet) is the source of this 3203-nucleotide RNA transcript. RefSeq lists it as uncharacterized. NCBI's taxonomy places the organism in Eukaryota, Viridiplantae, Streptophyta, Magnoliopsida, Poales, Poaceae. The transcript has 4 exons. The record is from RefSeq and is a predicted model, not a curated record.
CCUGCAUAGCCAGUGAGCCAGGCUUAAGCUAUGCAAAAAGGCUAGUCCGGCCUGCAUAGCUGGAAACGAAAACCAGUCCCGUUUCCGCUUAUGCAGCCUAGCUAGUGCCCCGCGGAGUCGAGUUUGUCGUUCCACACCUUCGGCGUGCUACUCUGCCUCACCUACCUCCUCACGCCAUGCUCGAGAAGGGGAUGUGCAGGGGAGGGAACAAAGAGGCGGCGCUACUGAGGCAUGCCAAGUUCGGCGCCCCCGACGAGGGGAGGUGCUGGAGUCCAGCAAUGCGGCGGUCCUGCGGCACACGGCGGCCAGAGACAAGGCGGCGGCUCGGGCUCUCCUUCUCUUCCGCAAGCUGCUGGAGGAUCGCAGCACGUGGUGCGUGAAGGCGCGGCGCUUUUGCUCGUCGAUUUCGCCGCCGUUGGCUCUGCCCACUCUGUCGAGGUGCUCGUCCUCCUCCCCCAUCGAGGCUUCAGCCACCGCAGACCAUAGGAAAUAGCUGUGGCUGACCUUGAUUGUUUCUCCGUUCACCAAAUCCAGCAUUUCAGUACACAAAUCAAGCCUCCACAGCACCAAAUCUAGCUCCCAAGAGUCCAAAUUGAGCUCCUACCCUCGAAUCGAAGCUAGACAAUGUCUAAAUUGAGUUCAUCACGAACAUGAGAGGAGGCGGAGGAGCAUUAGGAUAACACAUGGAUGGUUCUGGUGCGUGGCCUCGGAGUAGUUGUGGCCUAGGAGCAGCAUGCGGAGCAUUCGGAUAGCGCUACACCCUCCGUAUUGAAGCUGGCCGGUGAUGGAGUAAUUAAUCUUCUUCUCCUUGAUUAUAUAUGCAAUUUUUCUUUCUUGGGAGAAGACCGAACCUACACUCCUCUCCUAUGGUGAGAGAUGGAGUUAAACUCACCCUACCAAAGAUAAGGUGACUAUAUCCAAGCAAAGUAGGCAAACGAACACGAUCAAACCAAUGCAGGCCUAGCGGCAAACCAAUCACGAGCCAAAAUGACUCUAUAAGAGCAACUCCAACAGAGUUGCCAUCCAACUCCCCGAGCUAAAAUUGUAGUAACUCAACAUUAAAAUCACUUACUAUCUCAAUUAUUAUCCUAUCCGGCUAGCCAAAUUGACCCUCCCGCUUGCCAAACUUGGCAAGCCAAUCCCGCUGGCCAAACUGGCUUGCCAAGUGUGGGCCCCACGCGCCUGCCAUCCCGCGAUGGUGGCGCGGGCGCGGGAAGCCUGAGAAGAGGGAGAGGCGGCGGCGGGCGUGGGUGCAGAGGCUGGAUGACGGCGACGAUGGUGGCGCGGGCGCGGGGGAGCCGGAGAAGACGCGCCGCCAAGGGAGCCGGAGAAGAGGGAUGGUGACAGGCGCUGGGAGGGAGAGGGAGCCGGAGAAGAAGGGAAGAAAUGAAUGGAUGAGGAAAAGAUAGAGAAUGAGAAGAAAAGAGAGGGAAGAAAUAAUGGAAAGAAAAGAAAAGGAAAUGGAAUAGGGAGUGGAGGCAACUGGCUGUUGGAAUUUGGAGAGUGAGAAAUGGAUAGUCUGUUGAAACGAGCAACUUAAUAUGAAGAGGAAUCUUUUUGCCAAUUGAAAUAGAGAAUCGAAAAUGGAUAGUCCAUUGGAAAUGCACUAAGCCAGGCUUGAGCUGGCUAUGGGCUACUCUUAGCCAGGCUCCAAUCACAGCCUAAUUGAUCAGAUCAGGCAUGCUCGUGUCAAUUAAUUUAUGCACAAGAAGCCCACAAAAAGCGGCAAGCGGCCCAUGUUCACUGUGCCCGCGGGCCGCCGCGGCGGCCUCCUCUCUAACCGAACUCGGAAGGAACCGAACCGAACCGAACCCACCCCCACCAACCACUCGCGUGCGUCGCCUCGCCUCGCCCUGGCCUCCCCGGCUCUCCGACGACAUCCCUGUUCCUCCUCCGUCGCCGGCAACGCCCCUCCCGCCCCGGUCUACGAAUCCCCCCCCCCCCGACCCCCCCCGGUGGGCUCGCUUGUCAGAUUGAAGCUUUGAAGCAUGUUGGUGUGACAGAAAUUGUUCCAACCAUCAAUUACCAUCCAGAGGAUAUGCACAACUUACUGAAGGAUUCUGAGGAGGAUCUUGCGUGAAAAUCUUAGUCACAGUCACAAUAGACAGAGCCCCUAGCUUAGGGACUGCUGAUCAUAAGCUUGUGGAUGGAUCUGGUGAACCCUUUUUCGUCCUAAACUGUGAUAACAUAAGUGAAUACCCUUUUGCUGAGCUCGUAAGAUUUCAGAAGACCCAUAGUGGUGAGACUAGAAUUAUGGUCACGAAGGAUCGGUGAGGGGUGCCUGAUCUGAUCGGCCCCGACGUGGCCAUCGGAGCAGGGUGCGUGGUGGAGGACGGGGGUUGCAAUCUGCGAGUAUAUUCGCUCCGAUUGCAAAUGGAAGUUGUUUAAGACAUUUAUAGCACAAGAACAACUUGAUAUACUCCUAGAAAAAUCUGUUUAAACAGCAACAUAAUCCAGCGAUGCACACCCUGGUCCACAACAACUGUCCUCCCAAGUCCCAGUGCUCCAGAUAAGCUUGCAAGCACAGGCUCUCAAUCUCACGCCACGCCAUUAAACCGAACUACCCCACCCAAAAAAACAGAGAAAGAAUUGCAAGACAAUGUCCUUUCUUUUUUCUUCAGGCGGAGGCAUCAUCAGCAACCUUGCUUCCCUCGGCACUUGGGGCAGCAGCAUCAGCAGCAGGAGGAGGAACAACAACUUGGACCGAGUCAGGAUCGACGCGCUUCUCUUCUUCGUCCUCCGCCUGCACGUCGCCAUGCGGAUCGUCCUUCAGCUCGCCGGCCGCGUCGUCCUGCUGCUCGGUUGCGGCUGAGGCCUGGACUGGUGCUUGUGCUACCGUCGUUGCUCCGGCGUCGUCGCCCUCUGGUUCCACAGCCACAACCUUCCCUGCCUCCUGAUCAGCCUCUCCAUCGCUAGUCGCUGCAUCCUGAGACAGCAAGUGCAGCGAUUGGUUACUGUGUUAAUCCUUUGCUGCUUAGCUGUUUUUUUUUUCCAUUGUCAUUUCAAAGAAGCAUAGAUAGCUGAAGCUUGGCAGCACUCAAGCACUGAGACCCUCUUUGGCACGGUUUAUUUCAGCUUUGGCUUCAUCUAUUUCACGCAAAUCGAGACACUGUAGCGUGAAGCCGUUUUGUAAGCUGGGACUAAAAUGAACUAUAAGUCGGAUGAAGCUAGUUUUUUUUGGCUUCACCGGUUUUGGCUUCACC